RNAcentral lists this small RNA (69 nucleotides) under uncultured Gellertiella sp. RNAcentral describes it as "S-element". It matches the Rfam family "S-element". Rfam says of the family: This family represents a group of S-elements from p42d and related plasmids. The S-element has multiple functions and is believed to act as a negative regulator of repC transcription, be required for efficient replication and act as a translational enhancer of repC. Lineage: Bacteria; Pseudomonadati; Pseudomonadota; Alphaproteobacteria; Hyphomicrobiales; Rhizobiaceae. The record is from RNAcentral.
AGUCAAGAGUCUUUGGCGCCGUUUUGGUGAGCAGAUUUCUUUUGCCUUCGAAAAAGGUGAAGAAAAAUG